AUGGUGCAUUGACUUGGUCAA
Molecule: microRNA, 21 nt
Filed under: Zea mays
Lineage: Eukaryota; Viridiplantae; Streptophyta; Magnoliopsida; Poales; Poaceae
Description: miRt30
Source: RNAcentral